GUCCACGCCCUAAACGAUGUCAACUGGGUGUUGGGGAAGCGAUUUCUCAGUACCGUAGCUAACGCGUGAAGUUGACCGCCUGGGGAGUACGGCCGCAAGGUUAAAACUCAAAGGAAUUGACGGGGACCCGCACAAGCGGUGGAUGAUGUGGAUUAAUUCGAUGCAACGCGAACAACCUUACCUACCCUUGACAUGUCCGGAAGCCUGCCGAGAGGCGGGGGUGCCCGAAAGGGAACCGGAACACAGGUGCUGCAUGGCUGUCGU
Molecule: ribosomal RNA, 264 nt
Filed under: uncultured bacterium
Lineage: Bacteria
Description: partial 16S ribosomal RNA
Rfam family: Bacterial small subunit ribosomal RNA
Source: RNAcentral